RNAcentral lists this ribosomal RNA (301 nucleotides) under uncultured bacterium. RNAcentral describes it as "partial 16S ribosomal RNA". It matches the Rfam family "Bacterial small subunit ribosomal RNA", at positions 509 to 807 of the family's 1533-position model. The record is from RNAcentral.
CAGCAGCCACGGUAAUACGAAGGGGGCUAGCGUUGCUCGGAAUGACUGGGCGUAAAGGGCGCGUAGGCGGAUUGUUUAGUUAGGCGUGAAAUUCCAGGGCUUAACCUGGGGACUGCGCUUAAUACAGGCAGUCUAGAGUGAGGAAGAGGGUUGUGGAAUUCCCAGUGUAGAGGUGAAAUUCGUAGAUAUUGGGAAGAACACCGGUGGCGAAGGCGGCGACCUGGUCCUUGACUGACGCUGAGGCGCGAAAGCGUGGGGAGCGAACAGGAUUAGAGACCCCGGUAGUCCCUGUCUCUUAUAC